RNAcentral lists this ribosomal RNA (2139 nucleotides) under Escherichia coli. RNAcentral's name for it is "partial 23S ribosomal RNA". It matches the Rfam family "Bacterial large subunit ribosomal RNA", at positions 1 to 2157 of the family's 2925-position model. The record is from RNAcentral. Lineage: Bacteria; Pseudomonadati; Pseudomonadota; Gammaproteobacteria; Enterobacterales; Enterobacteriaceae.
GGGUUGUGAGGUUAAGCGACUAAGCGUACACGGUGGAUGCCCUGGCAGUCAGAGGCGAUGAAGGACGUGCUAAUCUGCGAUAAGCGUCGGUAAGGUGAUAUGAACCGUUAUAACCGGCGAUUUCCGAAUGGGGAAACCCAGUGUGUUUCGACACACUAUCAUUAACUGAAUCCAUAGGUUAAUGAGGCGAACCGGGGGAACUGAAACAUCUAAGUACCCCGAGGAAAAGAAAUCAACCGAGAUUCCCCCAGUAGCGGCGAGCGAACGGGGAGGAGCCCAGAGCCUGAAUCAGUGUGUGUGUUAGUGGAAGCGUCUGGAAAGGCGCGCGAUACAGGGUGACAGCCCCGUACACAAAAAUGCACAUAUUGUGAGCUCGAUGAGUAGGGCGGGACACGUGGUAUCCUGUCUGAAUAUGGGGGGACCAUCCUCCAAGGCUAAAUACUCCUGACUGACCGAUAGUGAACCAGUACCGUGAGGGAAAGGCGAAAAGAACCCCGGCGAGGGGAGUGAAAAAGAACCUGAAACCGUGUACGUACAAGCAGUGGGAGCCUCUUUUAUGGGGUGACUGCGUACCUUUUGUAUAAUGGGUCAGCGACUUAUAUUCUGUAGCAAGGUUAACCGAAUAGGGGAGCCGAAGGGAAACCGAGUCUUAACUGGGCGUUAAGUUGCAGGGUAUAGACCCGAAACCCGGUGAUCUAGCCAUGGGCAGGUUGAAGGUUGGGUAACACUAACUGGAGGACCGAACCGACUAAUGUUGAAAAAUUAGCGGAUGACUUGUGGCUGGGGGUGAAAGGCCAAUCAAACCGGGAGAUAGCUGGUUCUCCCCGAAAGCUAUUUAGGUAGCGCCUCGUGAACUCAUCUCCGGGGGUAGAGCACUGUUUCGGCAAGGGGGUCAUCCCGACUUACCAACCCGAUGCAAACUGCGAAUACCGGAGAAUGUUAUCACGGGAGACACACGGCGGGUGCUAACGUCCGUCGUGAAGAGGGAAACAACCCAGACCGCCAGCUAAGGUCCCAAAGUCAUGGUUAAGUGGGAAACGAUGUGGGAAGGCCCAGACAGCCAGGAUGUUGGCUUAGAAGCAGCCAUCAUUUAAAGAAAGCGUAAUAGCUCACUGGUCGAGUCGGCCUGCGCGGAAGAUGUAACGGGGCUAAACCAUGCACCGAAGCUGCGGCAGCGACACUAUGUGUUGUUGGGUAGGGGAGCGUUCUGUAAGCCUGUGAAGGUGUACUGUGAGGUAUGCUGGAGGUAUCAGAAGUGCGAAUGCUGACAUAAGUAACGAUAAAGCGGGUGAAAAGCCCGCUCGCCGGAAGACCAAGGGUUCCUGUCCAACGUUAAUCGGGGCAGGGUGAGUCGACCCCUAAGGCGAGGCCGAAAGGCGUAGUCGAUGGGAAACAGGUUAAUAUUCCUGUACUUGGUGUUACUGCGAAGGGGGGACGGAGAAGGCUAUGUUGGCCGGGCGACGGUUGUCCCGGUUUAAGCGUGUAGGCUGGUUUUCCAGGCAAAUCCGGAAAAUCAAGGCUGAGGCGUGAUGACGAGGCACUACGGUGCUGAAGCAACAAAUGCCCUGCUUCCAGGAAAAGCCUCUAAGCAUCAGGUAACAUCAAAUCGUACCCCAAACCGACACAGGUGGUCAGGUAGAGAAUACCAAGGCGCUUGAGAGAACUCGGGUGAAGGAACUAGGCAAAAUGGUGCCGUAACUUCGGGAGAAGGCACGCUGAUAUGUAGGUGAAGUCCCUCGCGGAUGGAGCUGAAAUCAGUCGAAGAUACCAGCUGGCUGCAACUGUUUAUUAAAAACACAGCACUGUGCAAACACGAAAGUGGACGUAUACGGUGUGACGCCUGCCCGGUGCCGGAAGGUUAAUUGAUGGGGUUAGCGCAAGCGAAGCUCUUGAUCGAAGCCCCGGUAAACGGCGGCCGUAACUAUAACGGUCCUAAGGUAGCGAAAUUCCUUGUCGGGUAAGUUCCGACCUGCACGAAUGGCGUAAUGAUGGCCAGGCUGUCUCCACCCGAGACUCAGUGAAAUUGAACUCGCUGUGAAGAUGCAGUGUACCCGCGGCAAGACGGAAAGACCCCGUGAACCUUUACUAUAGCUUGACACUGAACAUUGAGCCUUGAUGUGUAGGAUAGGUGGGAGGCUU